This 888-nucleotide ribosomal RNA is filed under the name Staphylococcus pasteuri. Its description in RNAcentral is "bacterial SSU rRNA". It matches the Rfam family "Bacterial small subunit ribosomal RNA", at positions 34 to 905 of the family's 1533-position model. The record is from RNAcentral. Lineage: Bacteria; Bacillati; Bacillota; Bacilli; Caryophanales; Staphylococcaceae.
GGCAAGGGCAGUGUCGAUACAUGCAGUCGAGCGAACAGAUAAGGAGCUUGCUCCUUUGACGUUAGCGGCGGACGGGUGAGUAACACGUGGAUAACCUACCUAUAAGACUGGGAUAACUUCGGGAAACCGGAGCUAAUACCGGAUAAGAUUUUGAACCGCAUGGUUCAAUAGUGAAAGACGGCCUUGCUGUCACUUAUAGAUGGAUCCGCGCCGUAUUAGCUAGUUGGUAAGGUAACGGCUUACCAAGGCAACGAUACGUAGCCGACCUGAGAGGGUGAUCGGCCACACUGGAACUGAGACACGGUCCAGACUCCUACGGGAGGCAGCAGUAGGGAAUCUUCCGCAAUGGGCGAAAGCCUGACGGAGCAACGCCGCGUGAGUGAUGAAGGUCUUCGGAUCGUAAAACUCUGUUAUCAGGGAAGAACAAACGUGUAAGUAACUGUGCACGUCUUGACGGUACCUGAUCAGAAAGCCACGGCUAACUACGUGCCAGCAGCCGCGGUAAUACGUAGGUGGCAAGCGUUAUCCGGAAUUAUUGGGCGUAAAGCGCGCGUAGGCGGUUUUUUAAGUCUGAUGUGAAAGCCCACGGCUCAACCGUGGAGGGUCAUUGGAAACUGGAAAACUUGAGUGCAGAAGAGGAAAGUGGAAUUCCAUGUGUAGCGGUGAAAUGCGCAGAGAUAUGGAGGAACACCAGUGGCGAAAGGCGACUUUCUGGUCUGUAACUGACGCUGAUGUGCGAAAGCGUGGGGAUCAAACAGGAUUAGAUACCCUGGUAGUCCACGCCGUAAACGAUGAGUGCUAAGUGUUAGGGGUUUCCGCCCCUUAGUGCUGCAGCUAACGCAUUAAGCACUCCGCCUGGGGAGUACGACCGCAAGGUUGAAACUCAGA